GGUUGGUCUGAGUGAAGGUGUUUACAACUAAUUGAUCACAACCAGUUACAGAUUUCUUUGUUCCUUCUCCACUCCCACCGCUUCACAUUACUACAAA
Molecule: non-coding RNA, 97 nt
Filed under: Microcebus murinus (gray mouse lemur)
Lineage: Eukaryota; Metazoa; Chordata; Mammalia; Primates; Cheirogaleidae
Source: RNAcentral